This 1093-nucleotide long non-coding RNA is filed under the name Neodiprion pinetum (white pine sawfly). RNAcentral describes it as "uncharacterized LOC124218844". Lineage: Eukaryota; Metazoa; Arthropoda; Insecta; Hymenoptera; Diprionidae. The record is from RNAcentral.
CGAGCAGUCGUAAACCUUUUCACACAUUGGCUAGUAUCGAUUGGUGAGUUGGAUGUCGCAGGUCACGUAAGCUUUACAAUGUUGUCCCGGAAAAUCAACUUGAUUUGAUGACCGAUAUUCAAACAGAUCAUAAAGUGCCCGAAUUUUAUUUGCUAUAAAAGUUUCAUGACAAUCUUCAAAAUUUGAUGGAUCAUCUUCGUUAGGUUUCAGCUAACUUGAAAAUUUCACAGGUAAUAACAUCACAAAUCAUGCAAAGUCAAGGAUAACGUAGGCUUGAUAACUUCGUCACUGGGCCCUACGAAGAUAAUACCUGAAAAGAAGACUGGAAAUGAUCAACACAAAAUUGUACACGUAAUCAGUGAUGUGAUAGAUCGAAGGACUCGAUGAAGUGUGCUUUAUUAAAACCAUUUCAGCACUCCUAACAAAAUAAUAUCAACAGACUUAUGGAUCGGGGAGUGCAGAAUAAAGGAAUUAAUAAAGCGAAAAAUGAUGAUGAAUGAAUUACAAUAUAGAAUUUUUCGAGGAACUAUAUUCGCAAGUAAUUAGAGUGCGUAUGUGUCAUUUAAUAAUUAUCAUCUAUCACGUAUUUAAUAUGAACAUCUAUUUACCUUGCAGAUAACAUUAUUUUCUAUACAUUGGUUUGUCAUUUUUAUUCAAUUCUUAAUAUUUCAUGGACACAGUUAGUUGAUUAAAAUCACUAAUUUUCUUUCGUUCACUCGUUUUUUCUCUUUCUCAAUAUAACAUGUGAUGUAUAUUAGUAAUUACAUUUUUCGAUAAAUUAUAUAAUAUGUAUAUAUGCAUGAUUUAUAUUUAUAUAUAUGUAUCUAACGAAAUUUUGCAACUAUGACAGUACAAUUUUUAUAUAUAUAUGUAUGUAUAUAAUAACGAUAGUAUAGUACGUAUGACCAUCAUUACAUCAUGACGCGAAGGAGGGAUUGAUUUUCUCGUUUCGUUUACUAAGAUGAAAAUUACGGAAAAAUACAAAUUCUCUUCGACGUUAAUAAAUAAUUCACUGCUACACGAAGAGCAUCCAGAUGAUGGAAUUCUAUGUUAUUCGACGAGUUAUAAAAAUGUUUCAAGUGCAUCUACGACG